UCCCUUGAUAGCAACACUUAUAGAUUUUUAGUAGUUAAUUCUGAAAUCAGUGGAAUCUCAAAUAAUACUAUCAUUGAAUCUAAAGAUGCAACUUUCUUUGAAAAUAUUUUCUCUUUCAAAACUUGAAUUUCUAGUCAAAUAUCUGAUUUUACAUCAAUAUUUUCUACUUUUGCCUCUUCAUCAAAUCAUCCUUCUACUUCUCAACUUGAUCAUAACCUUAUAGAACAUAAUCUUCCACUUGAACUU
This 246-nucleotide long non-coding RNA is filed under the name Elaeis guineensis (African oil palm). RNAcentral describes it as "long non-coding RNA (EGUI_LNC047808)". Lineage: Eukaryota; Viridiplantae; Streptophyta; Magnoliopsida; Arecales; Arecaceae. The record is from RNAcentral.